Molecule: ribosomal RNA, 448 nt
Filed under: uncultured Anoxybacillus sp.
Lineage: Bacteria; Bacillati; Bacillota; Bacilli; Caryophanales; Anoxybacillaceae
Description: bacterial SSU rRNA
Rfam family: Bacterial small subunit ribosomal RNA
Source: RNAcentral
GAGACAUGUGGUUAAUUCGAAGCAACGCGAAGAACCUUACCAGGUCUUGACAUCCCUGACAACCCGAGAGAUCGGGCGUUCCCCUUCGGGGGGACAGGGUGACAGGUGGUGCAUGGUUGUCGUCAGCUCGUGUCGUGAGAUGUUGGGUUAAGUCCCGCAACGAGCGCAACCCUCGACCUUAGUUGCCAGCAUUCAGUUGGGCACUCUAAGGUGACUGCCGGCUAAAAGUCGGAGGAAGGUGGGGAUGACGUCAAAUCAUCAUGCCCCUUAUGACCUGGGCUACACACGUGCUACAAUGGGCGGUACAAAGGGUCGCGAACCCGCGAGGGGGAGCCAAUCCCAAAAAGCCGCUCUCAGUUCGGAUUGCAGGCUGCAACUCGCCUGCAUGAAGCCGGAAUCGCUAGUAAUCGCGGAUCAGCAUGCCGCGGUGAAUACGUUCCCGGGCCUU